GGUCAAGCUACUAAGGGCUGUUGGUGGAUGCCUUGGCAUUAACAGGCGAUGAAGGACGCGAUUACCUGCGAUAUUCUUCGGUGAGCUGGAAAAAAGCUGUGAACCGGAGGUUUCCGAAUGGGGCAACCCGGUGGAAUUAAUCUUCCAUCAUCUUUCACUGAAUACAUAGGUGAAGGAGGCGAUACCCGCUGAACUGAGACAUCUAAGUAAGCGGAGGAAUAGAAAUCAAAAGAGAUUCCCAUAGUAGCGGCGAGCGAAGUGGGAAGAGCCUAAACCGAAGUCUUUGAUUUCGGGGUUGUAGGACCAGUCAAAGGACUAGUUAGCUUUAGCCGAACACUUCUGGAAAGUUGGGCGAUACAGGGUGAAAGCCCCGUAGGCGAAAGGGCAAACUGGCAGGAUUGGCACCUGAGUAGGGCCGGACACGUGAAACCCGGUCUGAAUCUGGGGAGACCACUCUCCAAGGCUAAAUACUCGUUAAUGACCGAUAGCGAACCAGUACCGUGAGGGAAAGGUGAAAAGAACCCCUGUUAGGGGAGUGAAAUAGAACCUGAAACCAGCAGCUUACAAGCGGUCAGAGGCCUAUGCCCUUUUUAAGGGAAUGGCUGAUGGCGUGCCUUUUGCAUGAUGAGCCAGCGAGUUACGUUAAAUGGCAAGGUUAAGGGACGUUCGUUCUGGAGCCGAAGCGAAAGCAAGUCUUAAAUAGGCGAAUUUAGUCAUUUGAUGUAGACACGAAACCAAGUGAUCUAUCCAUGACCAGGUUGAAGCAAGGGUAACUCUUUGUGGAGGACCGAACCAGUGUAUGUUGAAAAAUACUUGGAUGAGUUGUGGAUAGGGGUGAAAGGCCAAUCAAACUUGGAGAUAUCUUGUUCUCUCCGAAAUAACUUUAGGGUUAGCCUUGGUUUAUUCUCUUUGGGGGUAGAGCACUGGAUUCUCGCGGGGGCCCACCAGCCUACCAACGGAAACCAAACUCCGAAUACCAAAGAGUGAUCCAGGAGAUAGACAGUGGGGGAUAAGCUUCAUUGUCGAGAGGGGAACAGCCCAGACCGUCGAUUAAGGUCCCAAAUUCUAUGCUAAGUGAGUAAGGUAGUGGAGUUUCUAAGACAAUUGGAAUGUUGGCUUAGAGGCAGCAAUCAUUUAAAGAGUGCGUAACAGCUCACCAAUCGAGAGACUUUGCGCCGAUAAUAUCCGGGACUAAAGCAUAGAACCGACAUCACGGGUGUCCGUCUUUUAGAUGGAUGCGGUAGGAGAGCGUAGUAUGUUGCGUUGAAGGUAUACCGAAAGGAGUGCUGGAGUACAUACUAGUGAAGAUGCAUGGCAUAAGUACACGAUAAAGGAGGUGAAAAUCCUCCUCGCCGAAAACCUAAGGUUUCCAGGGUAAAGCUCGUCUUCCCUGGGUUAGUCGGCCCCUAAGUCAAGGCGGAAACGCGUAGACGAUGGAAAGCAGGUUAAAUAUUCCUGCACCACCUAAAACUAUGACAAGGCGAUGACGGAGUACGUUAAGCGUGCGGACGAUUGGAAGUGUCCGUUACGCAGUGAGGCUGGUUGGCAGGAAAGUCCACCAACGGAAGGCCAGGCUGCGGACAAGGGGAAUCUUUUUGAGGAACCGAUGGCGUGGCGCAAUGCUUCCUAGAAAUAAUCGCUAGUCGUUGAUGGUGACCGUACCGUAAACCGACACAGGUAGGUGGGAUGAGUAUUCUUAGGCGCGCGAGAGAACUCUUGUUAAGGAACUCGGCAAAUUAUCUCCGUAACUUCGGGAGAAGGAGAGCCGCAGGGUGUGAUUAUACUUGCUAUAUGAGCAUCAGGCGGUCGCAGAGAAAUGGCCCAGGCGACUGUUUAGCAAAAACACAGCACUAUGCAAAGCCGUGUAAGGCAAAGUAUAUGGUGUGACGCCUGCCCAAUGCCAAAAGGUCAAAAGGAGGUGUUAGUCUUCGGACAAAGCACUGAAUUUAAGCCCUGGUGAAUGGCGGCCGUAACUAUAACGGUCCUAAGGUA
RNAcentral lists this ribosomal RNA (1992 nucleotides) under Bdellovibrionales bacterium. RNAcentral describes it as "partial 23S ribosomal RNA". It matches the Rfam family "Bacterial large subunit ribosomal RNA", at positions 1 to 1958 of the family's 2925-position model. Lineage: Bacteria; Pseudomonadati; Bdellovibrionota; Bdellovibrionia; Bdellovibrionales. The record is from RNAcentral.